RNAcentral lists this ribosomal RNA (492 nucleotides) under uncultured bacterium. RNAcentral's name for it is "partial 16S ribosomal RNA". It matches the Rfam family "Bacterial small subunit ribosomal RNA", at positions 30 to 507 of the family's 1533-position model. The record is from RNAcentral.
AUUGAACGCUGGCGGCAUGCUUUACACAUGCAAGUCGAACGGUAACAGGCCUUCGGGUGCUGACGAGUGGCGCACGGGUGAGUAAUGCAUCGGAACGUACCCAGAGGUGGGGGAUAACGCAGCGAAAGCUGUGCUAAUACCGCAUGUGAUCUGAGGAUGAAAGCGGGGGACCGAGCAGCAAUGUUUGGCCUCGCGCCUUUGGAGCGGCCGAUGUCGGAUUAGCUAGUUGGUGGGGUAAAGGCCUACCAAGGCGACGAUCCGUAUCUGGUCUGAGAGGACGACCAGCCACACUGGGACUGAGACACGGACCAGACUCCUACGGGAGGCAGCAGUGGGGAAUUUUGGACAAUGGGCGCAAGCCUGAUCCAGCAAUGCCGCGUGCGGGAAGAAGGCCUUCGGGUUGUAAACCGCUUUUGGCAGGAACGAAACGGUGUCCGCUAAUACCGGGCGAUAAUGACGGUACCUGCAGAAUAAGCACCGGCUAACUACGUG